AUAAUCAAAUAUGUGGGAAUUUUUUUGUUUAACUGUUUUAAUAUGUGAUUGGAUGAAUCUAUUUAUUGCUUUAUUAAUAUGAAAUCUGAUUGAUUAAAUUUGAAGAUACGAUAUUUUAUUUAUAAUCUCUUGUAUAUGGUUUUAACAUGUAUUAUUUUUGUAUGAUGGAAUAUCAUAUGAACAAGGAUCUGAGAGCUCAUUUGGGAAAAGUUACGACAUAUUAUAACUUUUUCAGCUAUGCGACAGUGAUUGAGGGGUUGGGCGAGGAGCACAUCGACAUACUCCAUCGAUCGUUUUUAUGGUCCUUCUAUCUUUUGAUAGACAAGUAGUUCUCUAGGUAGAUUUUUGAUUUCUUAUUACUCCAACUGCUUAAAUUAGUCGAUGGCGAUCAGCUUUAUUUUGCUAUGGGGGACGGGAAGGUAUCAAGAUUCUCGAUCCUUGAAUUUGCUCUCAUUACAGGCUUGAGAUGUGUUGGAGAAGAAGAAGCGAGAGCUCGUAUUAUACUAAAUAAAAGGUUAUUGGAUUUAUAUUUUGGAAGUAAAGGGUCGGUUACACCAUCACAGUUAGAGGACGCAUUUAGGAGAUGCGAUCACAUGGUAGACAAGCUGAAGUUAGGAUUGGUGUAUAUAUUGGAGAGUAUAUUGAGGUGUUGACAUCGUAGGACGUCGAUUGACCUUUUUUCAUUGGAUGUUGUUGAUGAUAUCGAUGCUUUCAACAGCUUUCAAUGGGGUUGGAGAUGUUGCACUGAUACUCUUCACGUAUUCAGGAAGGUACAUACUGUGCCGAAAUCAGAGAGGGGCGAGUGCAAAUAUGAUGUAUAUAGCUUUUGCAUGGCUUUGCAGGUAAUUAUUCAGCUUAACGUAAUGCGUGUUAAAAAACUUUUUUAUUAAAUGUAUAACUAACUUUUUUUUUCUUUUUUUUUCUUUUUUUUUUGCAGUUGUAGGCAUAUGAGGCUAUCUCUGCAUUGAGUAGCAAAAGGGCGAUCAGAAGGGAGGCCAGCUGCCCACGAAUGCUUCAUUGGCGAGCACAUAAGAAGCCAUUGGCUAAAGAUUUGACAGCUAUCCUCGACGAUUCUCAGGUGAGUAUUAUAUAUUUACAAUUUAUAUUGUACGUCGGCUCGAUACAUGCUCGUUAACAUGUUGAAAUAUGAUAUGUCAGCUCGAAGUUCAUGCUGAGUUGGUUGUUUCGAUAGAAGAGGAGGAUCAAAUAUAUGUACGUGAAUUACAUGUUUCACCUACUGAAAACGAUCCAGUGUUUGAAUCCGUUCCGAAUAGAAAUAGGGUACGUUUAUUUAAGAUCAUUAUUUAUUUUGACUUAUAAUAUUCAUGUGUGGAUUUUAUGAUUUUACAACUCUUUUUUUGUAUUUUUCGUAACUUUUUUUCAUUUUUCAGAGAUAGCUAUAUCAUCGACUGUAUGACCGUGCCCAAUGCUAAAAAGUGGUUUGAAAAUGUACUGACGACCUCAGCUUGGCUCGUCAAUGAUGUAAGUUUUUUGAGUUUUCAUUUAUUAUGUUUAUAGAAGUUGUUGGUUCAUUUACUUAAACGACUAUCUUUUUGGUUGGUGUUUUUUUGUUUCAGCAUAUCGACUUGAUUAUAGAAUUGUUAUGUGAUCGGGCUCGAAGAUACCCGAGAUCUUAUAACAGUCCUAGUCAAGUUAUCACGAUCUCCUAAGCAAGGGAAAUGAAUUUGUUCUGUCUAAGUACAUGCUGGAGUGGGUGAUUGGGCUACAGCUGAGGUGGGAAAAGUCGUGGAUGGAUUGUACACAUAUGUACAUUCCAGUGAUCGCGAACUUAUACUGUUUUUCAGUGGAGAUCAUAUUUGCUAUGAUGGCUAGUCAUGCGAUGAUUCUAGUAAAUGACGAUGGCAAGACAAGAAAGAUCGUAAGGAUUUAAAACUUUUUAAUUUUAAGAUUUAAUUUUUAGUUAUAUGUUAUCGAAUUAAUAUAUUCUUCUUCGGUUGCAGGGGCAACUAUGGCUUAUUUGCAAUAAAGUACAUAGAGUUUUUGAGCAUUGUUCGUAAUGUUGAUACAAUAAAUCAGUCUUGGAUUGAUAUGUGGAGGCAUAAAUUAGCUUGCUUUGUAUGAAUAUAAUUGUGAUCCUUAGUGCAUUGUAUAUUAUUUUAUUAAAAUGUGAAUGUUGUUUACUUUAGUAUGAUUCAUGUUAUAAUGUAAUAUGUUUUUUAAAUAUUUAAUUAG
Molecule: long non-coding RNA, 2193 nt
Filed under: Olea europaea subsp. europaea
Lineage: Eukaryota; Viridiplantae; Streptophyta; Magnoliopsida; Lamiales; Oleaceae
Source: RNAcentral